RNAcentral lists this ribosomal RNA (865 nucleotides) under uncultured bacterium. RNAcentral describes it as "bacterial SSU rRNA". It matches the Rfam family "Bacterial small subunit ribosomal RNA", at positions 24 to 886 of the family's 1533-position model. The record is from RNAcentral.
UCAGAACGAACGCUGGCGGCGCGCCUAAUACAUGCAAGUCGAGCGAGAAGACGUAGCAAUACGUUUGUAAAGCGGCGAACGGGUGAGGAAUACAUGGGUAACCUACCCUUGAGUGGGGAAUAACUAGCCGAAAGGUUAGCUAAUACCGCGUACGCUCCUUGGACUUCGGUUCAGGGGGGAAAGCGAUACCGUGGGUAUCGCGCUCUUGGAUGGGCUCAUGUCCUAUCAGCUUGUUGGUGAGGUAACGGCUCACCAAGGCUUCGACGGGUAGCUGGUCUGAGAGGACGAUCAGCCACACUGGCACUGCGACACGGGCCAGACUCCUACGGGAGGCAGCAGUAAGGAAUAUUGCGCAAUGGGCGAAAGCCUGACGCAGCGACGCCGCGUGGGGGAUGAAGGUCUUCGGAUUGUAAACCCCUUUCGGGAGGGAAGAUGGAACGAGCAAUCGUUCGGACGGUACCUCCAGAAGCAGCCACGGCUAACUUCGUGCCAGCAGCCGCGGUAAUACGAAGGUGGCAAGCGUUGUUCGGAUUUACUGGGCGUACAGGGAGCGUAGGCGGUUCGGUAAGCCCUUUGUGAAAUCUCCAGGCUUAACCUGGAACAGUCGGAGGGGACUGCUGGGCUAGAGGACGGGAGAGGAGCGCGGAAUUCCCGGUGUAGCGGUGAAAUGCGUAGAGAUCGGGAGGAAGGCCGGUGGCGAAGGCGGCGCUCUGGAACGUUUCUGACGCUGAGGCUCGAAAGCGUGGGGAGCAAACAGGAUUAGAUACCCUGGUAGUCCACGCCUUAAACUAUGAAUACUAAGUGUCGGCGGGUUACCGCCGGUGCCGCAGCUAACGCAUUAAGUAUUCCGCCUGGGAAGUACGGC